Coturnix japonica (Japanese quail) is the source of this 1680-nucleotide non-coding RNA. Lineage: Eukaryota; Metazoa; Chordata; Aves; Galliformes; Phasianidae. The record is from RefSeq and is a predicted model, not a curated record.
CAACUCGGUACCUGCACGCACGUGGCAGCUCCGGGAGGUGUUUCUGCACUGUGUGAGCAUCUAACAGCCGUGCCGCUGGAUAGCCCUGUGCCAGCUGGAGGCACGCGUACGUUUGCAGGGAGCACGCUGUGCUAAGCAGCCCUCGGGAUACCGCCAGAGCUUCUGGCUGAGGGAGGCGGGCAUCGAGGUUUCUACGGAAAAAUAAAAUAAAAUAAUAACCGCUGUGGAAAGUAGGGAAGCAAGGUGACUUAGCACUACUGUCAUUUGCAGAUGAGUUGCUUUAGAGAGAAGCUUCUUUAAAGCAGAUGAUGUGCUGCAGCUCGGGAGCUGGUGCGGAAGGCACCCGGGGCUGCGGUGUCAGCUGGAGGCGCUGCUUUCCCUUCCCCGCUUAAUCACUCCAUUAACAGUUCGGGCAAAAAGCCACCCACGCUUCAUGCAAAUACCGUGCUGUCCUUUAGGCGGAAUGAGCGAAAUGAAAUUACCGCGAGGAUAUUUCUAAAUCAGCUCAUAAUUGUUGUGUUUUCACAAGCUGGUGGCAUCGGUUAGCUGACAUCAAUGAGUAUUUGUUGUGUGCAGUUAGUAUAUGCCCUGGGGAAAAGCUUUAUUCAUCCAUACUGCCAUCAGUUAAAAGCAGAACGAGCCCAGGCUGCCACCACUGCUCCACGUGUCCUUGGCUUUGCUCUCUGGUUCCAAGCAGGCUGCCGAAACCUGGAGCAGACCUCAAGGCCUCUCACCGUGCUCCCUGUCAGCACCUUGUUCUUACUGGUGAGCCAACCGAUAGCUCACUUUAAUUGUAUAGCCUCAUCAUGUUCAUGCUAUUGCCAGGUAAUAAAGUUGGUUACAUCAGCACACUUCACAUGCAUCCUUAUUCACCUGCACAGCCAUCCAUGCACACCCGUUUCUUUUAUUUCUUUUACUGCAGGACUCAGAGUGAUUGGGAACAGACUCUUGCUUCUGAUUGAGGUAGAAGAGACAUGAUUCAGACUAUACUUGCUGUUGGCCAGGCUAAUGAGAAGGAGCACUUCAGCACUGAAAGGAUUCCAUAUACUUAACCUGAGAUGGCUGGCUCCUGUGAUAGAGAAAACAAUGGCAGAUGAUCCAGACAGUAUCAUCACUCCCCUGGAUUACAUGAGGCUUCUGGGAACUGAUGCAGUCCAUCCAUUUUCUCCACAAAACUAGGGAUGCCAGCAGAUUUCAACAGAGAAAAUGAACAUAUUUAUUGCUGUCCUGCUUGCUUCUGCUCUCUGUCAAUCUAAAGGAAUAGAGUUACUCUUAAAACAAAUCACUGCAAUCCAUCUCAAUAAAAAUGUAACGUGAAGAACAAGGUGUGCUCAGCAUAUGAAUGACAGACAGAAAUGGCUGAUGGUAAUUCUGGAAUACAUUCAGGGAUCCUGCUAUGUCUCUCCACCCAAAUGAAAGACAAAUUAUACUGUUAAAGCUCAACGUGUUAUGUUGUAAAGGUAUCCCACUGAGAUAUUAUUUAUGUCUUAAUUUAUACUUUAUUACUAAUAAUUUCCAAAUGGAUAAAGCUACCUAAUCUACUCUGCAGACCUUUACCUAUAAAUAACUGUUAGAAAUGAACUUAUUUGUGAAAAUUGGAGACAACAUCUGAACUGUAAAAUGUAACAUGACACUCUUAUCCUCUUUACACAGACUAAUAAAUAAGUAUAAAUACAUAAA